RNAcentral lists this ribosomal RNA (425 nucleotides) under uncultured Oscillospiraceae bacterium. RNAcentral's name for it is "bacterial SSU rRNA". It matches the Rfam family "Bacterial small subunit ribosomal RNA", at positions 355 to 794 of the family's 1533-position model. The record is from RNAcentral. Lineage: Bacteria; Bacillati; Bacillota; Clostridia; Eubacteriales; Oscillospiraceae.
UGGGGAACAUUGGGCAAUGGGCGAAAGCCUGACCCAGCAACGCCGCGUGAAGGAAGAAGGCCCUCGGGUUGUAAACUUCUUUUGUCAGGGACGAAGCAAGUGACGGUACCUGACGAAUAAGCCACGGCUAACUACGUGCCAGCAGCCGCGGUAAUACGUAGGUGGCAAGCGUUAUCCGGAUUUACUGGGUGUAAAGGGCGUGUAGGCGGGAGUGCAAGUCAGAUGUGAAAACUAUGGGCUCAACCCAUAGCCUGCAUUUGAAACUGUACUUCUUGAGUGAUGGAGAGGCAGGCGGAAUUCCCUGUGUAGCGGUGAAAUGCGUAGAUAUAGGGAGGAACACCAGUGGCGAAGGCGGCCUGCUGGACAUUAACUGACGCUGAGGCGCGAAAGCGUGGGGAGCAAACAGGAUUAGAUACCCUGGUAGU